This 702-nucleotide non-coding RNA is filed under the name Pan troglodytes (chimpanzee). Lineage: Eukaryota; Metazoa; Chordata; Mammalia; Primates; Hominidae. The record is from RNAcentral.
CGCUCCGCGGCGGGUGUGCUCGGCAGUCACAGACCCACUCAGGACACCUCCCGUUGCCGACGGGCUAGACCUGCCUUAAAGGGGUCCCCGUGUCUCUCCAGUCUAGAGCCUAAGUUCAAACGAGGCGUAUAGGCGAGGACAGCAGGAAGGCUCCAAGUCAAACAAAUGGAUGCCCACAGGGAAGUGGUCUUGGGAAACCUGAAGACACUGGGAUAUUCAGAAGGCCAAGGGGAUCCAGCUUAUCCUGUUGGGCAAGGUGCUGGGAGUGAAGGCAGGUCACCUGAAUGAUACUGGUGCCAUUUCUGAAGUUGGUGAAACUCCGCAUUACAUCCUGACUCAGAGAUUCCACUGAUGAUUUCCAGGAACUACCAAAGCCACGGAUCAGCUGAGUUACCCGGGCUAAUAGCAGGAGGAAACAGUGUCAGAGAGGGAUCUGGCUGAUCUUCAACUCCACUAAGUUCUCCCCAAGGUAUAGCCAUCCUUAUCAUCAAACCCUCUUUUCUGGUAUUCUCUCAAUCCAGUCUUUCAUACUCUAUUCCCCCACCAUGUAAUCUGCAUCCUUUCAUUUUUCUUUUCCACUUCCCUUACCACUGAUCCCAUCAUUACCAUAUUUUCCUCAUACCUUCUUCCCCUCGAAGUCGCUCAGCCUGUCCACGCUCAAUCAAAGCCUCAGCCUCCUUCACAAAUGCCACUAAACCCCCA